RNAcentral lists this microRNA precursor (192 nucleotides) under Oryza barthii. RNAcentral describes it as "MIR812 microRNA precursor family". It matches the Rfam family "MIR812 microRNA precursor family". The record is from Rfam by way of RNAcentral. Lineage: Eukaryota; Viridiplantae; Streptophyta; Magnoliopsida; Poales; Poaceae.
CCUAGUUUCCGUGCCUAACGUUUGACCGUCCGUCUUAUUUAAAAAAAUUAUGAAAAAAAUUAAAAAAUAAGUCACGCAUAAAAUAUUAAUCAUGUUUUAUCAUCUAACAACAAUAAAAAUACGAAUUAUAAAAAAAUUUCAUAUAAAACGGACAGUUAAAGUUGGACACGGAAAUUCAGUGUUUGCUUUUUU